Molecule: RNA transcript, 1346 nt
Organism: Mustela lutreola (European mink)
Lineage: Eukaryota; Metazoa; Chordata; Mammalia; Carnivora; Mustelidae
Gene name: spermatogenesis-associated protein 31D3-like
Exons: 3
Source: RefSeq, a predicted model, not a curated record
UACAGGGUCCUACCUGAGGCAGCACAGGUGUGACUGUUGGGCUUCCUUUUCUAUGUCCUCAAUGAACAAAGGACUUCUGAUUGGGAAUACCAAGUGUGGACCUCCUAGACAAAGUCGUCCCCUGGGUUUUCUAAAGAGUAAAUAUUGACAACAUUUUAUCAUCUUUAAAACUGAAAAAAGCAAGGAACACAAAGUUCUACUAAAGUCCUAGAAUUCUUGCAUAAAGGACGUUUCCAUUUCUGAGAGAAGAGUAAGACAUGGAUCCCAACCCCCCUCAUUGUUCAUUUUUCUUCUAGCAUCAGGGCAGAGCCAAGAGAAGGAGGAAAGGAGGGACACUGGAAGAUGGCAGAUGGUACCAACGGGAAGUGGAGGAGGCCCGGAAGCUGAUCUCGAUUUUAAGAAGCCCCCUCGGCCGGCAUCAUGAUACCAUCCACUUUCGUCAACUGUUAUGUCCAGACCCCUCCUGUGAGAUAUGUAACAGCACAUCUGCGGAGAUCGAUCGGCUGCUGUUCCUGCAGGCUCUGGAAGAUUCUACUCCCUUGGCUUCCACAGCUUCUGUGACUUCUUCAUCAUUCACUCUCUCCACUGACUUCUCAGCAGUCCCUCCAGGAGAGCUAAUACCAGCUUCGCUGUCUGAGUCUUCCCCACCACCUGCCUCCAUCUUCUCACCUAACCCAGUGAUCCCUGUGGCUGAUUUCUUUCCACCCUCACCACCGGGUGAUUCUGUGCCACCAGAGCCCUUUCCUCCCUUGGAUUCCAAAUUCCCAAUGGACCAUUUCCCAGCCCAGCCCCCUGCCUUUCCACCUCCUGUCCCAUCCCAUCAUGCCCAUUCAGUGGACCGUAGCGUCCAAACAGAGACAGUGUCUCUAAAUACCCUUUCCCAAGAUGUCAGCCCCUUACCGGAGUUGUGGGAGCAGUGUCCAUAUCCUACCACCUCGGAAGAGGGCCAUUUACAGCAAACCCCCAUCCAGUUCUUCUGGGGUCUCCAAACUCCAAGCAGGUCCUUCUUCCCUGCUGCCUCCCCAGAGCAGGAAUCCCCAGGAGUUCCCCAUCCACUUCCUCCAUCCUUGCCUGAGAACCCGCCUCAACUCCUGCCUCAAACCCAGCCCCUACCUCUCCCUCAUGUCCAGCCCCAGGCCAACCUUCAAUCCCCACUCCCAAUCCUGCCAUCUGGUCCUCUACCUGACAUCAAAAUCUGUGGAGCUUGUUUCCACAGACCUCAAAAUGAGUCUGAGAGUCUGCCAUCAACAGAAAUGGAACAUCUGGAAUCGAACGUGUUGCAGAAGAUACAGAAACGUGUGUGGGGUUUACCCACUAUAGUCCAAAGAUCCCAGGAGGACUACUGU